RNAcentral lists this ribosomal RNA (497 nucleotides) under uncultured bacterium. RNAcentral describes it as "partial 16S ribosomal RNA". It matches the Rfam family "Bacterial small subunit ribosomal RNA", at positions 28 to 523 of the family's 1533-position model. The record is from RNAcentral.
GAUGAACGCUGGCGGCGUGCUUAACACUUGCAAGUCGAACGAAGCACCUUAUUCUGAUUUCUUCGGAAUGAAAAAUUUGGUGACUGAGUGGCGGGCGGGUGAGUAACGCGUGGGUAACCUGCCUCAUACAGGGGGAUAACAGUUAGAAAUGACUGCUAAUACCGCAUAAGACCACAGCACCGCAUGGUGCAGGGGUAAAAACUCCGGUGGUAUGAGAUGGACCCGCGUCUGAUUAGGUAGUUGGUGGGGUAACGGCCUACCAAGCCGACGAUCAGUAGCCGACCUGAGAGGGUGACCGGCCACAUUGGGACUGAGACACGGCCCAAACUCCUACGGGAGGCAGCAGUGGGGAAUAUUGCACAAUGGGGGAAACCCUGAUGCAGCGACGCCGCGUGAGCGAUGAAGUAUUUCGGUGUGUAAAGCUCUAUCAGCAGGGAAGAAAAUGACGGUACCUGACUAAGAAGCACCGGCUAAAUACGUGCCAGCAGCCGCGGUAA